Molecule: ribosomal RNA, 469 nt
Filed under: uncultured bacterium
Lineage: Bacteria
Description: bacterial SSU rRNA
Rfam family: Bacterial small subunit ribosomal RNA
Source: RNAcentral
GACGAACGCUGGCGGCGUGCUUAACACAUGCAAGUCGAGCGGGGGACAUGGAGAAGCUUGCUUCGAAAUGUUCUAGCGGCGGACGGGUGAGUAACGCGUGAGCAACCUUUCCUCUACUGGGGAAUAACACAGGGAAACUUGUACUAAUACCGCAUGAGACCACAGAGCUGCAUGGCUUAGGGGUCAAAGAUUUAUCGGUAGAGGGUGGGCUCGCGUCUGAUUAGGUAGUUGGUGAGGUAACGGCCCACCAAGCCGACGAUCAGUAGCCGACCUGAGAGGGUGACCGGCCACAUUGGGACUGAGACACGGCCCAAACUCCUACGGGAGGCAGCAGUGGGGAAUAUUGCACAAUGGGGGAAACCCUGAUGCAGCAACGCCGCGUAUAGGAGAAGGUUUUCGGAUUGUAAACUAUUGUCUGCAGGGAAGAAACAAGACUGUACCUGCAAAGAAAGCUCCGGCUAACUACGUG